ACCUCAUCCAGCAGAGCCUGUCGUAUGUGCAGGGGCGGCAUGGCCCAGGCUAAUGGGGUUGAAGUACCCUGUGUCAUUUGGGAAGUCUGCAGGUUAACGAUCCGCCUGCCUGUCUGGGACCUGCCUGCAGAUUUCAGCCACUUCUGGAUACACCUGGGACAGGGCUGAUACCUCCACUGUCUUACACUGUGAAGAGCGGGACAAACCGAUGAGUGACAGACUACUGAAUCAAUCCCCUUUUAAGCUGCUUAAGUUCCAGAUUUAGUUUUAAAGAGAAAAAAAAUUGUCAUCUUUUUAAAAAAACUGCAUCUUCUUUCUCCUAAUAGCUAAUAUUUAUUGAGCAUUCAUGACACGUAUACACUAUUUUAAACUGCCACUGUGGGUUGAUGUCACUCCCCCAUUUUAUAAACAUGGAGACUUUGGUAACUUUCUAACAGUACUUGGCCAGUCAGCCAGGCCUGUGCUCUUCAGAGGCGCAAUGGGGUCUUUAUACUACACACUAAUGCUGUUUGCAUGACCAUCCCUAUCACUUUGUUUUUAAUUUAAGACAAACAUGUAAUUUCCUAUAAUUGAAAUAUAUAUGUGAACUAAAUGCAAUUCCUUUUAGGUCAUACAUUUAAAAUUAUGUUAUAAUGAAAAGUAUUUCCUUUAUAAUAUAGAGGUGGGUCCACAUUAAUGAGAACAUAAUAUAUGGAUUAUAGGCCGACUACUCAUUUAAAAAGAGUGUUUUGCUUUCAAAAGG
Molecule: long non-coding RNA, 742 nt
Filed under: Homo sapiens (human)
Lineage: Eukaryota; Metazoa; Chordata; Mammalia; Primates; Hominidae
Description: HSALNT0139367
Source: RNAcentral